Molecule: ribosomal RNA, 497 nt
Filed under: uncultured bacterium
Lineage: Bacteria
Description: partial 16S ribosomal RNA
Rfam family: Bacterial small subunit ribosomal RNA
Source: RNAcentral
GACGAACGCUGGCGGCGUGCCUAAUACAUGCAAGUAGAACGCUGAAGCGAGGAGCUUGCUCUUCUUGGAUGAGUUGCGAACGGGUGAGUAACGCGUAGGUAACCUGCCUUGUAGCGGGGGAUAACUAUUGGAAACGAUAGCUAAUACCGCAUAACAAUGGAUGACACAUGUCAUUUAUUUGAAAGGGGCAAUUGCUCCACUACAAGAUGGACCUGAGUUGUAUUAGCUAGUAGGUGAGGUAAUGGCUCACCUAGGCGACGAUACAUAGCCGACCUGAGAGGGUGAUCGGCCACACUGGGACUGAGACACGGCCCAGACUCCUACGGGAGGCAGCAGUAGGGAAUCUUCGGCAAUGGGGGCAACCCUGACCGAGCAACGCCGCGUGAGUGAAGAAGGGUUUCGGAUCGUAAAGCUCUGUUGUAAGUCAAGAACGGGUGUGAGAGUGGAAAGUUCACACUGUGACGGUAGCUUACCAGAAAGGGACGGCUAACUACGUG